RNAcentral lists this unclassified non-coding RNA (736 nucleotides) under Hevea brasiliensis (rubber tree). Lineage: Eukaryota; Viridiplantae; Streptophyta; Magnoliopsida; Malpighiales; Euphorbiaceae. The record is from RNAcentral.
GUUCAGAUGUUCAAACAACAGAAGAGACGAGCACUGAUAAUGGGUCAAAUGCACCUCUCCAGACUGCCUUAGAAUUCGCACCAUUUGUAGGUAGUGUGGAUGCUGGCUUACCCAUCACACCCUGCAAGAUGGAGAAUGUGAAGGGAAGCCUCGGCCGGAAAGGGAAAUCAGAACAUUGCAGCAAGGAUCUUGAUAAUGGAUCGGGGAAGGAGGAUGGACCACAAGUUGGCUGUUCUUCAAAGAAGAGAGUUGGAGAAUGGCAUGAAGAAUGUGCUGGAACUGGAGAUAAGGAUUUUGAGUAUUAUGUCAAAGUAGUUAGAUGGUUAGAGUGUGGUGAGCAUAUUGACAAGACAUUCAGGCAGAAGUUCUUAACGUGGUAUAGCUUAAGAGCUACACCACAAGAUGUUAGGAUUGUCAAGGCAUUUGUUGAUACCCUAAUCGAAGAUCCAGCAUCACUUGCUGGGCAGCUGGUUGAUACUUUCUCUGAUGUUAUUUCAAGCAAGAGAGCUUCUGUAGUUCCAGCAGGCUUUUGCCUAAAGCUUUGGCAUUAAAGGAUUCAGAAUGUGGAUCCUCUAUCCUCUAUAGUCGCUGCUUAACUGAACAUAAUUCUUUUGAUUCCCAAAUUGUUCCAUGUCGAUUCAUAUUUAUGAUGUAAACGAUUAAAUCAUCUUUAAUUAUUAUUUUUUUUUCCUUAUAGGUUGGUUCUACCCAAUUCAUCCACAUUUCUCUCUGAUGU